This 520-nucleotide ribosomal RNA is filed under the name uncultured Glomus. RNAcentral describes it as "SSU rRNA". It matches the Rfam family "Eukaryotic small subunit ribosomal RNA", at positions 569 to 1092 of the family's 1831-position model. The record is from RNAcentral. Lineage: Eukaryota; Fungi; Glomeromycota; Glomeromycetes; Glomerales; Glomeraceae.
AGCAGCCGCGGUAAUUCCAGCUCCAAUAGCGUAUAUUAAAGUUGUUGCAGUUAAAAAGCUCGUAGUUGAAUUUCGGGAUUAGUACGUUGGUCGUGCCUUAGGUACGUACUGGUGUUACUGGUUCCUACCUUCUGACGAACCAUCAUGUCAUUAAUUUGGUGUGGCGGGGAAUCAGGACUGUUACUUUGAAAAAAUUAGAGUGUUUAAAGCAGGCUCGCGCUUGAAUACAUUAGCAUGGAAUAAUGAAAUAGGACGUUGACCCUAUUUUGUUGGUUUCUAGGAUUGACGUAAUGAUUAAUAGGGAUAGUUGGGGGCAUUAGUAUUCAAUUGUCAGAGGUGAAAUUCUUGGAUUUAUUGAAGACUAACUACUGCGAAAGCAUUUGCCAAGGAUGUUUUCAUUAAUCAAGAACGAAAGUUAGGGGAUCGAAGACGAUCAGAUACCGUCGUAGUCUUAACCAUAAACUAUGCCGACUAGGGAUCGGAUGAUGUUAUUUUUUAAUGACUCAUUCGGCGCCUUACG